AGUUUCUCGAUCCCGCUCGAUGAGCAUGGUAGGACAAAGCGCAACUUCCUAGUAUGGGAUUUUUUUUACCGACGAUCAAUAAUUAGACGAUGAAAACGAUGGUAACGGUGCUAAUGUAGAGCAUAUUUUAUUCGACGAGGGUGGGGGUAACCUUCAAAGGCUUGCGCCUGAGAAAGGCUUUGCUGGUAAGUCCGAUUCUUUCACGUUACUGCCGCGCUUUACAGCAUUUUUAUGGGCGCACGCGCUUGAUUACGACAAGAAACCGAGGGGUUAGGACGCCUCUCAUGUCAUUCUAACGAACGGGAAAUCCAGAUGCCGGCAACCCUCCAACCGCUGAUGGACCAACACUGUGGCGAAACAAAGAAACGAAAAAAUCUUGUUAGUCCCGCCU
Molecule: long non-coding RNA, 391 nt
Organism: Neodiprion fabricii
Lineage: Eukaryota; Metazoa; Arthropoda; Insecta; Hymenoptera; Diprionidae
Exons: 3
Source: RefSeq, a predicted model, not a curated record